CCUACGGGUGUCAGCAGUGGGGAAUAUUGCACAAUGGGGGAAACCCUGAUGCAGCGACGCCGCGUGAGUGAAGAAGUAUUUCGGUAUGUAAAGCUCUAUCAGCAGGGAAGAAAAUGACGGUACCCGAUUAAGAAGCCCCGGCUAACUACGUGCCAGCAGCCGCGGUAAUACGUAGGGGGCAAGCGUUAUCAGGAUUUACUGGGUGUAAAGGGAGCGUUGACGGCAGAACAAGUAUGGAGUGAAAUGCCGGGGCUUAACCCAGGAACUGCUUUGGAAACUGUGCAGCUAGAGUGCAGGAGGGGUAAGUGGAAUUCCUAGUGGAGCGGUGAAAUGCGUAGAUAAUAGGAGGA
Molecule: ribosomal RNA, 350 nt
Filed under: uncultured bacterium
Lineage: Bacteria
Description: partial 16S ribosomal RNA
Rfam family: Bacterial small subunit ribosomal RNA
Source: RNAcentral